RNAcentral lists this long non-coding RNA (315 nucleotides) under Homo sapiens (human). RNAcentral describes it as "HSALNT0389589". Lineage: Eukaryota; Metazoa; Chordata; Mammalia; Primates; Hominidae. The record is from RNAcentral.
AAAAAAAGACGUAAACUGGGUUGAGACUGAGCUAAAGUUAAUCUGUGGCGACGUUCUGGAUGUACUGGACAAACACCUCAUUCCAGCAGCUACAACUGGCAAGUCCAAGGUUUUCUAUCAUGAAAUGUAGGUUCUAUACUAACAAUUAACAAGUGUACUUCAAUAAAUUUAAACAUUCUCAGGAAUAGUUGACUUUGUUUCUUUUUUUCUUAGACAUUUCAUAUUAUUUUCCUUAUUAAAUAUAACCAAAAAUCCCACAGAAAUUAACUGAGGAGCCUCUAAAUAUCAACAAAAUUAUCACUUGAUAGACUAGAA